CAGUCGCCACGGUAAUACGGAGGGUGCAAGCGUUAAUCGGAAUUACUGGGCGUAAAGCGCGCGUAGGCGGUUACUCAAGUCAGAGGUGAAAGCCCGGGGCUCAACCCCGGAACUGCCUUUGAAACUAGGUGACUAGAAUCUUGGAGAGGUCAGUGGAAUUCCGAGUGUAGAGGUGAAAUUCGUAGAUAUUCGGAAGAACACCAGUGGCGAAGGCGACUGACUGGACAAGUAUUGACGCUGAGGUGCGAAAGCGUGGGGAGCAAACAGGAUUAGAUACCCCCGUAGUCCCUGUCUCUUAUAC
Molecule: ribosomal RNA, 301 nt
Filed under: uncultured bacterium
Lineage: Bacteria
Description: partial 16S ribosomal RNA
Rfam family: Bacterial small subunit ribosomal RNA
Source: RNAcentral